This 199-nucleotide ribosomal RNA is filed under the name Lactiplantibacillus plantarum. Its description in RNAcentral is "Lactobacillus plantarum partial 16S rRNA". It matches the Rfam family "Bacterial small subunit ribosomal RNA", at positions 335 to 526 of the family's 1533-position model. Lineage: Bacteria; Bacillati; Bacillota; Bacilli; Lactobacillales; Lactobacillaceae. The record is from RNAcentral.
ACUCCUACGGGAGGCAGCAGUAGGGAAUCUUCCACAAUGGACGAAAGUCUGAUGGAGCAACGCCGCGUGAGUGAAGAAGGGUUUCGGCUCGUAAAACUCUGUUGUUAAAGAAGAACAUAUCUGAGAGUAACUGUUCAGGUAUUGACGGUAUUUAACCAGAAAGCCACGGCUAACUACGUGCCAGCAGCCGCGGUAAUGC